Neocloeon triangulifer is the source of this 270-nucleotide long non-coding RNA. RefSeq lists it as uncharacterized. The transcript has 3 exons. Lineage: Eukaryota; Metazoa; Arthropoda; Insecta; Ephemeroptera; Baetidae. The record is from RefSeq and is a predicted model, not a curated record.
UAAAACUGUAUGCUGAAACAUGAUAAAGAGCUGGUCAGUUCAAAAGGAAUAUCCUGCAGAGGCCGGAUCAAAAAAAGUGCUGCCAAAAGAGCAGUGUGGUGGGCGAGGGGCUUCUCAACCUCUCAGGGUUUCUACCCCUGGCAAACUCAACGCCUGGUCGUCCUCUCCUUUUCUGCAUUGGCCGCCUUCUUGCCACACCUUUGAUAAGUUAAAUUAAGAAUUGGAAACAGAAGGAUUCCAUGGACCGAUUCUAAAGUUAUUUCUCCUGCG